CCUACGGGAGGCAGCAGUGGGGAAUUUUGGACAAUGGGCGCAAGCCUGAUCCAGCAAUGCCGCGUGAGUGAAGAAGGCCUUCGGGUUGUAAAGCUCUUUUGUCAGGGAAGAAACGGCCGAGGCUAAUACCUUUGGCUAAUGACGGUACCUGAAGAAUAAGCACCGGCUAACUACGUGCCAGCAGCCGCGGUAAUACGUAGGGUGCAAGCGUUAAUCGGAAUUACUGGGCGUAAAGCGUGCGCAGGCGGUUUUGUAAGUCUGUCGUGAAAGCCCCGGGCUCAACCUGGGAAUUGCGAUGGAGACUGCAAGGCUUGAAUCUGGCAGAGGGGGGUAGAAUUCCACGUGUAGCAGUGAAAUGCGUAGAGAUGUGGAGGAACACCGAUGGCGAAGGCAGCCCCCUGGGUCAAGAUUGACGCUCAUGCACGAAAGCGUGGGGAGCAAACAGGAUUAGAUACCCUGGUAGUCCACGCCCUAAACGAUGUCUACUAGUUGUCGGGUUUUAAUUAACUUGGUAACGCAGCUAACGCGUGAAGUAGACCGCCUGGGGAGUACGGUCGCAAGNUUAAAACUCAAAGGAAUUGACGGCUGAGACGNGCGAGACGACGACGAGGGAGAGG
RNAcentral lists this ribosomal RNA (617 nucleotides) under uncultured bacterium. RNAcentral's name for it is "bacterial SSU rRNA". It matches the Rfam family "Bacterial small subunit ribosomal RNA", at positions 338 to 947 of the family's 1533-position model. The record is from RNAcentral.